RNAcentral lists this unclassified non-coding RNA (433 nucleotides) under soil metagenome. RNAcentral's name for it is "partial contains 5.8S ribosomal RNA, internal transcribed spacer 2, and large subunit ribosomal RNA". The stretch from base 1 to 120 matches the Rfam family "5.8S ribosomal RNA", at positions 35 to 154 of the family's 154-position model. The record is from RNAcentral.
GAUGAAGAACGUAGCGAAAUGCGAUACGUAAUGUGAAUUGCAGAAUUCAGUGAAUCAUCGAAUCUUUGAACGCAUAUUGCGCUCUCUGGUAUUCCGGAGAGCAUGCUUGUUUGAGUAUCAGUAAACACCUCAACUUCCAUAUCUUUUUUGAAAUGGGAGUUGGACUUGAGUGAUCCCAACGCUUUUCCUCACCGAAAAGUGGCGGGUUACUUGAAAUGCAGGUGCAGCUGGACUUUUCUCUGAGCUAUAAGCAUAUCUAUUUAGUCUGCCUAAAAAACAGAUUAUUACCUUUGCUGCAGCUAACAUAAAGGAGAUUAGUUCUUGUGCUGACUGAUGCAGGAUUCACAAAGACAGGCUUCGGCCGACUUUGUAAACUCGAUCUCAAAUCAAGUAAGACUACCCGCUGAACUUAAGCAUAACAAUAAGCGGAGGA